Molecule: Y RNA, 95 nt
Filed under: Microcebus murinus (gray mouse lemur)
Lineage: Eukaryota; Metazoa; Chordata; Mammalia; Primates; Cheirogaleidae
Description: Y RNA (ENSMICG00000047246.1)
Rfam family: Y RNA
About the family: Y RNAs are components of the Ro ribonucleoprotein particle (Ro RNP), in association with Ro60 and La proteins. The Y RNAs and Ro60 and La proteins are well conserved, but the function of the Ro RNP is not known. In humans the RNA component can be one of four small RNAs -- hY1, hY3, hY4 and hY5.
Source: Rfam by way of RNAcentral
GGCUGGUCCGAUGGUAGGAGUUGUCAGAACUUAUUAACGUUAGUAUCGCUAAAGUUGGUAUUCAAACCCCCACUGCUAAAUUUGACUGGCUUUAA